Molecule: non-coding RNA, 1749 nt
Organism: Camellia sinensis
Lineage: Eukaryota; Viridiplantae; Streptophyta; Magnoliopsida; Ericales; Theaceae
Source: RefSeq, a predicted model, not a curated record
CACAUAGUGUUUGUUGAAUUGACUUUUAGAUUCAUGAUUGUGAACCAACCACCAGAAAGGGAAUUUUAAGGGUCUCUCUCACUGCCACACUCUCUCCCUCUAAGGCUGCUUUGUUUCUCUCCUCCUUUGCCUCCAACAAUUGACAAGCCAUUGAAGUGCCCACCAUCUUCCUAGAGGUCUAUGACCAACCACCUCACUACUAAAUACCCACAAACUGAUUGUCCCAAAGGUUAUCAUUAGAUGGAAUAGGUUAAAAACAGGUAGGUGAGGUGGCUUUGUUCUCCCAGGUGGCUGCUUGUAAAAUCCUAGAGAAAUGCUUGAAAUUCCCAGACAACUCCAGUGGACCAACUAAUGCUUGAUGCAAUCCGUUAACAAAAAGAUUAAAUGUACACAGAACCAGAGCUAGAACAAGCUUAGACUUGGCUGAAACACCCACAUCUCAAUCCCAAAACAAAGGGAGAGUAAGAAACUUUAUGUAGAAGACUUAAAAUUGCGCAAAUGAUGGUCCAAAAGCCUUUGAAUACAACCUGGAACAACCCUUUAAAGACUAGGGCUGUCCUAACAAAAAGUAUGUUCUUGUGGAUCCUGAUACUGUACACUGGGCCAUGGGUCCAAUGGGGGGUUUGGGAGGGCCUCCCCCCAAGUGAAGGGGGGCCCAGGGGUACUUUUGGUAAUUUCUAAUUGCUUCCACGUUGUCCUAAUUUCUAUGCUUAUAAAUAGAAUAGGGGGGUGCCUCUUGUAUGAUAGAGAGUUGUAAUUGUUUUAUAAUCAUAGUGAAAACCAUAGUAGCCGUGGACGUAGCCUUACUGUGGGAUGAACCAUGUAAAUCAUUAUGUUCUUGUGUGUGUGUGAUGUCUUUGAUUUGUUUUUUUUUGUUUGUUUGUUAUUUUGUGUCUCACGUUAGGAAGAUUUGAUUUCCUAAUAGAUGUCAGCCUUUUAUUAACCUAAUCUAAGGGCUAUUUUCGUUCAAAAAAAUAAAAAAAAAUAAAAAUAAAAUCUAAGGGCUAUUUGUCAUGUGCAGCAGAAUAAAAGGAAUUAAAUGACUAAUCUGCCAUCGAAAGUCACAUGGCUCCCUUAAAAAUCACAUUUACCUUUUGAAAUAAAAGUACGAGCAAAAACCCAUAAGAAGUACUUCACUAAACUAAACGCCUAACAAGAAAAACUAAACAUCAAAUAAAAUUUAGAUUUUAGUUGUCUUAGUAUGCUGUCUUGCUUGCAGCGUAAGCUUCUCCAUUUGCUCUGCAACCACUACUAAUUUACUCCACAUUUGGAAAAAUUCAAGAACCCAAAAAGAGGUGCAGGUUUUUGAUGCAGCACACGCAGGUUUGAAGCAUUCUUAAGCUGGUUUUAGGGUUAGGUUUAGUGAAAGAAUGCCAAGAGUUAUGUAGGGUUUGGUUGUAGAAGGCUUGGGCUUAAAGAGAGAGGAAUUUGUUGGCAAAAUAAAGGCCGUUUAUAGGUGGUAAACAGUAAUCUGUGAACUGUACAGAAAAUAAAAGAAAAGAAGAGGCAGAAAACUAAGAAUCACUUCUAGAAUCUCUUAGGCGGUUUGGGUUGCAUCACAACAUCCCAAAACAGGCUUCACAGCUUUGAAAAUUUAUGUAAAAACUGAUCAUUAUUGAAUUAGAAGCAAUACAUAGUUUUAUAUAAAACUACAAGUGACUUUACCAGCUAGAAAUAUGAUUUACCAAAAAAAAAAAAAAACCAAAAAUAAUUGACUUCUAAAACUAAUCUAAUACCAAAUAAAACUCA